AACGAACGCUGGCGGCAUGCCUAACACAUGCAAGUCGAACGAGAUCUUCGGGUCUAGUGGCGCACGGGUGCGUAACGCGUGGGAAUCUGCCCUUUGGUUCGGAAUAACAGUUGGAAACGGCUGCUAAUACCGGAUGAUGACGAAAGUCCAAAGAUUUAUCGCCAGAGGAUGAGCCCGCGUAGGAUUAGCUAGUUGGUGUGGGAAAGGCGCACCAAGGCGACGAUCCUUAGCUGGUCUGAGAGGAUGAUCAGCCACACUGGGACUGAGACACGGACCAGACUCCUACGGGAGGCAGCAGUGGGGAAUACUGAACAAUGGGCGAAAGCUUGAUCCAGCAAUGCCGCGUGAGUGAUGAAGGCCUUAGGGUUGUAAAGCUCUUUUACCCGGGAUGAUAAUGACAGUACCGGGAGAAUAAGCUCCGGCUAACUCCGUGCCAGCAGCCGCAGUAA
Molecule: ribosomal RNA, 449 nt
Filed under: uncultured bacterium
Lineage: Bacteria
Description: partial 16S ribosomal RNA
Rfam family: Bacterial small subunit ribosomal RNA
Source: RNAcentral